RNAcentral lists this long non-coding RNA (3955 nucleotides) under Marmota monax (woodchuck). The record is from RNAcentral. Lineage: Eukaryota; Metazoa; Chordata; Mammalia; Rodentia; Sciuridae.
CUUAGUUUUCCUUAGCGGUCUUCACCGUCCUUCCCAGGAGAGCCUGGAGCCCCUUCUUCUUGGGCAAGUCCCUGCGAGGCCAGCGAGGGGCCCUGCCAGCUCCGCUCCCACACAGCCCUCCUGAGCUGACGCCACGGGGCGGAGACGCCUACAGGUCAGGCAGUGGGAAAGGGGCAGGAGGGCCCCACCGUCCGUGACCUCGCGAGGGAGAGGCCUCAGGCUGCCCCUCAGGAGAAGGGUGGGAGGGACGGGCUCCCUUCUUGGUUCUUCGGGGCUUUUUGUCUCUGGCUGUGUGAGUCCUGCCCCCAGGUCCUGGGGCCCAGGGACGGGGCCUGGCAGCCUCUGCACUGGCUCGUCCUAAUCCCUCCUCACUGUCUCCCCUUCCAGGAAGACCACCCGCCUCCCCGCCACGAGGGCGCCUCCCACCCCGUGCUCCCAGGACCCUACCUCCAGCGCGUCUUCCUCGAGGGCCACCUGUGUGCUCGGCCCCUGGCCUCACAGACCGUCCCAUGUAGUGGGACGGGAGAGAACCUGGUCAUCUGGCUCCGGGCCCUCCAGAUCUAAGCUCACUGCCCAGGGCCCUGCUUCUCCCUGCCCCACCUGCCCCUGGGCAGGAACACCAGGGAGGGAGGGGGAGGAGCUAGGCGGGGGCUCCUGCAGGGUGGCUCCCGGAGGAGGCCUGGGGACCCAGAGGCCGGGAGCCAUCAGCUUCACGAAGGCCCGGGCAGGGUGCUCUGGGCAGGUAGAGUACAGAGGCCCUGGGCAGGAACAGUGUGGCAAGUUGGAGGGCCACACGGGAGGCCCAUGCACGGAGCUGUGAGCUGCAGAUGCCCUCUGCGUGCUCUGGAAGCCGGGGGGGGGGGGGCCCCCAUUGGGCCAGCGGCGCAGGGAGGUUUCCUUGAUGCAGGCCACCUGAUGAGCUGGGCUGAGGGGCAGGGCUCUGGAGACCAGGACCCCCCUGCGCCGCCCAGCCGCCUUCCCGCCUCGCGGACGCUGCCAGGACUGGGAAGCUCUUCUGGAACGCAGAGCAAGGGACGCAGCCUGUGACCAGGCCGCAGGAGCCUGCCCCCGGCCAGUUCCCGUUGGGUGUAAGUGGUGAGAAACGGGCUGGAGGCCGGGAGAACCUGUUUUUCAGCCACCAGGGACGCGGCAGGGCACCCUGAGCUCUGGCCUUUAAGCAAAAGCCACAUCACCCCCCGGGGUCCAGGUCACCCACACAGAGGUUCAGGGUGUGUGCAAAAUGGUGUCCGGUGCAUGACAGGAAGGUCACUUGUUUUCUCUCUGGAAAGGACUCGUCCCCACUAGGACCAGCCAGCUGCACAUCCAGACAGUGUGUGCCUUGGCAGGGACACCGAGGCUCCAGAGGCCUUGGGGAGCUCCCUGGGUCCCAGGAUGGCACAUGCACAGCUGACGGGGACUUCUGGGACAGCAGUUGCCCCCUCGAUAAUGCCUGGGCACCUGCUUCAUGCCCAGGACCCACACGGAUGGACACGCAGACGGACAGACCAUGCCCUGGUGCAGCUCAUGGGGGAGGAGGGGGGUCCUGCUUCCAACCCAGGCAGCCCCUGCUGGGCCCCUCUUCUGGGCCGCUGGGUCCCCCUGCUGGCUAAGUCCUCUCGUGUGCAGUCCUGAGGAAGGCCACCUUUCAUCAGAGGUUAAAGGGUCCCCUCCUGUUCCGGGAGCCCCAGCUCCCGGUGCCGUGACUCCACGGGACAGGCCCUCUGUCGAGUGGCAGCACUGGGUUACCACAGCGUUUCCCAGCUGUCCCUCGGGCCCUGCAGGAGGGACUGUGGCUUGACCCCCUGCGGCCCGCACUGCCUCUCCAGCCGGGGACCCGCUUCUGGCCUCUGCCUCUGGUGGCCGCGCCCACCCCUGCUUCUUCCAGGCCUGUUCAGACCCACCCAAGUACAAAGAGGGGCCGUGGGCAGCCUGGAGCGUGGACACCUGAAAGUGUGGGAAAGUCUCGGGCCCCAGCAGGCCCCAUGUGAGCGCCCAGGUGAGGAAGCCGCACAGGCCCGCGAGGGCCCAGGCCCAGGCCCAGGCUCAGGCUCUGUUGGUGCAGAACAUCUCUCACCGGGUCUCACCAGGGUCUCGCCCUGUGGUGCUGGCUGACGCUGGUCUGCUGUCACACCUUGGGAACAGAGAUGUCGUAGGCAGGCGGUGCUGAGGGCGGGCAGACAGAUGACCACUGUGUCCGUGUCAGAGGCGGCACGUCCUGGGCUGCCCUCUGUCCCCAGAUCCUCCCACCCCAGCCUCCCAGUCCUUGGGAUCACAGGUGUGUGCCCUGUGCCGGCUGGAAACAGGGUCUUCAAAGAGGUGACUAAGAUAAAGUGAGGUCACUAGGGCAGCCCUCCUCCAGUAGGACUGGGGUCCGUGGAGGAAGAGGCAACCAGGACACAGAUACACGGGGGACACCAUGCGAGGACACAGGGAGACACAGGCCCGUCUCGGAGUGAAGCUCUCCUCAACGGCCGGUUCUCACAGGGAACCCUCAGCCUGGGACUCCAGACCAGCACACGGGUGGCAGAGAGGACCGACGCCCAGGCCCAGGGCCAGCACCAGGGCCCGGCUGGGCAUCGGUCCAUCCAGCCCAGCUGGUCUGUCGCCCCCUCUGGUUCCCCUGGGGGACGCUCAUUUCCUCCCCUGUGGAACCAGAGGCCAUCCUCCUAGGACGCCUCUGGGCCUCAACGGGCUCCCGCCCAGGGCACCUCGCUGGGCGCAGCCCGGCUCUUUUCAACCAGAUGUCGAUUCCUUGUCCACUGCUCGGCUCUUCCACCUGGACCAUGCAUUCUGGCGCCUGGACUUAUUGAUGUAUUUCCAGCGUCUGGCCUGGUGCCCGGCACGCGGCGGCAAGUGAAUGAAAUGUGAAAAAAUCACACUCUGUCGGAGCUGCGGCAGAGCAUCCCGGGGCCUUUCUGCUGCCCUGCGCAGUCCUGGAAGCCCCCGGAGGUGCUCAGAGCACAUGCCCGGUGUCCGUCCCUGAGGUGUCCUCCAGGUGGCUCAGGAGGCACAGGCUCCCCGUGCUCUGCCUUCAGGGUGGCAGUAAGCACGGCUUCCCAAGAGCCAGUGGAGGACUGGGUGUGGCUCAGUGACAAGUGCUUACCUAGCAGGUGAGAGGCCCAGCGUUCUGUCCCCAGCACCGAAAAAAUGACACAGUCGCCAAAUUCCCAGCUGAUGUCAGCCUCCCAGCCGGGGAAUAACAACCGGGUUCUCUAUAAAUAUCUAAUGUUUAAAAGAUUAGUUGUCCAAUAUGAUAAUAGUUUUUUUUUCUUUUUUUUUUUGUUAUGUUUUGGGUACUGGGAAAUGAACUCAGAGGCAUUUUGCCACUGAAUUACAUCCUCAGCCCUUUAAAUUUUUUUUUUAAAGAGAGAAUAUGAAUCUUUUUUGUUGAUGGACACAACACAAUGCCUUUAUUUAUUUUUUUAUAUGUUGCUGAGAAUCGAACCCGGGUCCCGCCCAUGCUAGGGGAGUGCUCUACCGCUGAGCCACAAACUCAGCCCCCCUCAGCUUUUUAAAAUUUUUGUUGUUAGACAGGGUCUCGCUAAGUUGUGGAGGCUGGCCUCAAACCCACAAUCCUCCUGCCUCAGCCUCAGUCUGUGGGGUCACAAGCGUGCACCACCAUGCCCGUCCCAAUCUGAUAAUCUUGAUUUUUGUUUCAUGACAAAUAUUUCAGCUGCAGAAAAAUUCCUUAGGAGCGUCCACAGGCAUGUUUAAGUUGGGCAAUAGGGAGGUCUAGGUACCCGUUUUAAUCGUGGUGAAAUCUACACAACUCGCAGUCUCCCACCACAAGCAUGUUCAGGCUCACAGCUGGUGGCGCUUAGAGCAUCCCUGGCCUUGCGUAACUCACCCCAGAACUCUCUUGCAGCCAGCUGGAGGCUCGGUGCGGUGAACACUGUCUCCCCCGCCCCCAGCAAGGACCCCCACCACCCUCCUUCAGAGUCAGGACUCUCUCCAC